Molecule: ribosomal RNA, 210 nt
Filed under: uncultured bacterium
Lineage: Bacteria
Description: partial 16S ribosomal RNA
Rfam family: Bacterial small subunit ribosomal RNA
Source: RNAcentral
GUUCGGAUUGUAGUCUGNAACCCGACUACAUGAAGCUGGAAUCGCUAGUAAUCGCGAAUCAGAAUGUCGCGGUGAAUACGUUCCCGGGUCUUGUACACACCGCCCGUCACACCAUGGGAGUCGGAAAUGCCCGAAGUCAGUGACCCAACCGUAAGGAGGGAGCUGCCGAAGGUGGAGCCGGUAACUGGGGUGAAGUCGUAACAAGGUAUC